This 493-nucleotide ribosomal RNA is filed under the name uncultured bacterium. RNAcentral's name for it is "partial 16S ribosomal RNA". It matches the Rfam family "Bacterial small subunit ribosomal RNA", at positions 29 to 507 of the family's 1533-position model. The record is from RNAcentral.
ACGAACGCUGGCGGCGUGCUUAACACAUGCAAGUCGAACGGAAAGGCCUGCUUUCCCUUGUGGAUUGCGGGUACUCGAGUGGCGAACGGGUGAGUAACACGUGAGUGAUCUGCCCCCAACUUGGGUAUAAGCCUGGGAAACUGGGUCUAAUUCCCGAUAGGACUGCAGGGUGGUGCCUGUGGUGGAAAACGAUUUUCUAGUGGUUGGGGAUGAGCUCGCGGCCUAUCAGCUUGUUGGUGGGGUAAUGGCCUACCAAGGCGGCGACGGGUAGCCGGCCUGAGAGGGUGGACGGCCACAUUGGGACUGAGAUACGGCCCAGACUCCUACGGGAGGCAGCAGUGGGGAAUAUUGCACAAUGGGCGGAGGCCUGAUGCAGCGACGCCGCGUGGGGGAUGACGGCCUUCGGGUUGUAAACUCCUUUCGACCGCGAGGAAGCCACCUGGUUGGAAGGGUGGUGACGGUAGUGGUAGAAGAAGCACCGGCUAACUACGUG